AGAGUCUUGACCUACAAAAGGUGCAGCUAAUAAUUGACUGUCAAAAAGAGGCACCCAGGCAUCGGAGGCACUGAGAUCAAGGUCUGCAUGGCACAAAAGUUAAGAGAUCUGAGGAGACGAGCAGAAAGGAUGCCUGCUGAAGGAGACACAAAGGACUGAGACAAUACACUUUUACAAAAGCACACCACACACACACACGCACACAUGCGUGUAUACCUGCGUUUUUUGUGGCUUUUUAUGUAUUUAUGUAUAAUAUGUGUGCUAAACAAAAGUGUAUAUAGUUUCUCAUUGAUAAUUGUCUUGAGAUAUUCACAUUUAUUCACAUUUAUAAACUUGUAUUUUUAUAAUCUCCUAAAGUCUUAGAAUUUAUGUUUUCAUGUUCAUGAUUAUUUUUUAUUAUUUUUUAUUUAAUUUUGUAAUACAUGUUGUUUAUAAAAAUACAUGU
Molecule: non-coding RNA, 445 nt
Organism: Pimephales promelas (fathead minnow)
Lineage: Eukaryota; Metazoa; Chordata; Actinopteri; Cypriniformes; Leuciscidae
Source: RefSeq, a predicted model, not a curated record